Molecule: RNA transcript, 1864 nt
Organism: Aegilops tauschii subsp. strangulata
Lineage: Eukaryota; Viridiplantae; Streptophyta; Magnoliopsida; Poales; Poaceae
Gene name: OVARIAN TUMOR DOMAIN-containing deubiquitinating enzyme 12
Source: RefSeq, a predicted model, not a curated record
GCCGAAAGAGAGCGAGUGAAGAAAAUAUUAAAAAAUAAAAAUAAGCUCCGCCUCUCUCUCUUCCUCCCUCGCGCUCGAUUCACACCACACCUCACAGCGGUUCCUCCUCCUCCUCCUCCUGGCUGCUUCCCCCUCAAUCCCACAAUCCGCCGGCCGAGCAAUUUCCCCAUGCUCCCGGCCUCCCGGAUGACCCCCGCCCCGACCCGCCGCUCCUUCUGCUGCUGCUUCGCCUGCUCGCUCAAUCCCCCCGGAGCCGCCGUCGCCGCCGCCGCCCGCUAGUCCUCGCCCGGGGGAGCAGAAGAUCCGGUCUUGGCCGCCUCCGUCGCCAAGGGCUGAUCGUGGGGUGGAGAGCGUGCCGAGCUCGAGGGGCAGUGCUUUUGACAGAGAAUUUGAGCCCAGCGGAUGAACAUGUGUGAGAAAGAUCAAAAUUUCCACUGGGCGUACGACCUUUUCCAUGACCCUUUUGCCGCUCCCAACAGCUACUAUGGACAUCCUAAUGGUUACAGUGACAACAGCUAUUGUGACUACAAUUAUGCUAGAGAUGCAUCACAUCCCGAUGAGACAUAUUUGCAUUCUUCUGCACUUACGUGCGAUAUGUACAACCCACAAGUAGGCAUGUACCAUCCUGGAAAUGUUGGCGGGCAGGAGCAUGAGGCAGUCUAUGUAGAUCCGUCUAGUUCCUCUUCAUACCCUGGCAGUGACGAUUGUUUUGAAAUGGAGGAAGAAGUAGGGAAGAGAUUUUACCCCAUGGUCCCAGUUCCCCAUGUCCCUAAAAUUAAUGGUGAAAUUCCAUCACUUGACGAAGCCAGCAUGGACCAUGAAAGGCUGUCAGACAGGUUGAGGUUGUAUGAACUAACUGAGAACAAGGUGAAAGGUGAUGGCAAUUGUCAGUUCCGUGCACUAUCAGAUCAGCUGUACCAAACUCCGGACCACCAUGAGUUUGUGAGGGAGCAGAUAAUUAGCCAGCUUAAGAGUAACCGGGAAGCCUAUGAUGGAUACGUCCCCAUGGCAUAUGAUGAGUAUCUGGAGAAAGUAUCACGAAAUGGUGAAUGGGGUGACCAUGUGACUUUACAGGCUGCUGCUGACAAGGUGCUUAUAUUUGUCUUACUCAUGGGCAUAGCAUAUAUCACAGCUGGCAGGGGUUGUACUUUACUAAUGCCCAUUCUAACACAAUUCGACAAUCUGUUGCAGUACGGAGUGAAGAUUUUCGUCAUGACCUCGUUCAAGGAUACGUGCUACAUCGAGAUCCAACCCAAGGUUCAGAAGUCCAACAAAGUGGUGCUGUUGAGCUUUUGGGCGGAGGUUCACUACAACUCGAUAUUUCCACAGAACGGUGAGUAGCAUGCCUGCCUGCCAUUGAGAUACAUGCAAUGCGUGUCCAGUCCCCGUCGCAAACACGCUCCGAGGUUGCAGCACACGGCGAAGAAGAGGAGAUGGUGGCCGUUCUCGCAGCACCACCAUUGAUGAGACUCUCUUCCCCCGCCUCGGCGCGUGUACUCUGACGGCGUUCCGGCGUGCAAAGCACUCUUGUUUCUCCACCGAGAUGGAUGGCCCCGGGGCAACGCACUCCUGGUCCCGGGAGGGGUCGUCGCGGCGUGCGCUCGCUCUGACAGGAGGAGGAGAGAAAAGGAAAAAGGCGUUAUGGUUGUCUGAGAUAAUAUUAUAGAUACAUGGAAUGGAAGGAAUAAUGAACAUGCGACCUGUCCCGUAUAUAGUUUUGGGUCGCAUUGCAGGCUCUGUUUAUGUAUUUACAUACAAAAUUUUGCCGGAAUGAGGCUACAUACAGUUAAUCAUUCAUUUGGAAUACAAAUGAUAUGGAUGGUGAUACUAAUAAUAAUAACUGGGUGAAUGCAGUGUUAAAGAA